AGAGUUUGAUCCUGGCUCAGAUUGAACGCUGGCGGCAUGCCUUACACAUGCAAGUCGAACGGCAGCACGGGUGCUUGCACCUGGUGGCGAGUGGCGAACGGGUGAGUAAUACAUCGGAACGUACCUUAUCGUGGGGGAUAACGCAGCGAAAGCUGUGCUAAUACCGCAUACGCCCUGAGGGGGAAAGCGGGGGAUCGAAAGACCUCGCGCGAUUAGAGCGGCCGAUGCCUGAUUAGCUUGUUGGUGGGGUAAAAGCCCACCAAGGCGACGAUCAGUAGCUGGUCUGAGAGGACGAUCAGCCACACUGGGACUGAGACACGGCCCAGACUCCUACGGGAGGCAGCAGUGGGGAAUUUUGGACAAUGGGGGCAACCCUGAUCCAGCAAUGCCGCGUGAGUGAAGAAGGCCUUCGGGUUGUAAAGCUCUUUUGUCAGGGAAGAAACACCGGCUCUAACACAGUCCGGGAAUGACGGUACCUGAAGAAUAAGCACCGGCUAACUACGUGCCAGCAGCCGCGGUAAUACGUAGGGUGCGAGCGUUAAUCGGAAUUACUGGGCGUAAAGCGUGCGCAGGCGGUUAUACAAGACAGGCGUGAAAUCCCCGGGCUUAACCUGGGAAUGGCGCCUGUGACUGUAUAGCUAGAGUGUGUCAGAGGGGGGUAGAAUUCCACGUGUAGCAGUGAAAUGCGUAGAUAUGUGGAGGAAUACCAAUGGCGAAGGCAGCCCCCUGGGAUAACACUGACGCUCAUGCACGAAAGCGUGGGGAGCAAACAGGAUUAGAUACCCUGGUAGUCCACGCCCUAAACGAUGCUGACUAGUUGUUCGGGAUUUACAUCCUGAGUAACGUAGCUAACGCGUGAAGUCAGCCGCCUGGGGGAGUACGGUCCGCAAGAUUAAAACUCAAAGGAAU
RNAcentral lists this ribosomal RNA (909 nucleotides) under uncultured bacterium. RNAcentral's name for it is "bacterial SSU rRNA". It matches the Rfam family "Bacterial small subunit ribosomal RNA", at positions 8 to 910 of the family's 1533-position model. The record is from RNAcentral.